GGAGUUGGACAGGCUACCGCCUCUAUUUUUUGAUAGAGGAGGAAAGUCCGGGCUCCGUAGGGCAAGACGCUGGGUAACACCCAGUGAGGGCGACCUCAGGAAAGUGCCACAGAAAGGAGACCGCCGAGCACCUAAAAGGGCACAGAAAAGUUUAUUAAAUAAGAAAAUUUAUCUUUUCCCUUUUAGGUGCUCGGUAAGGGUGAAAGGGUGGGGUAAGAGCCCACCAGCUGUCAUGGUGACAUGACAGGCUAGGUAAACCCCGUCUGGAGCAAGGCCAAAUAGGAAGGCGCUUUUAGGCUGGCCCGGCCGAUGCCUUCGGGUAGGCCGCUAGAGGCAGGGAGUAAUCCUUGUCCUAGAGUAAUGGUAGCCACCUGGAUUCAGGAACAGAACCCGGCUUAUGUCCAACUCCAGAU
RNAcentral lists this RNase P RNA (413 nucleotides) under Desulfonauticus submarinus. Its description in RNAcentral is "Bacterial RNase P class A". It matches the Rfam family "Bacterial RNase P class A". From Rfam's summary of the family: Ribonuclease P (RNase P) is a ubiquitous endoribonuclease, found in archaea, bacteria and eukarya as well as chloroplasts and mitochondria. Its best characterised activity is the generation of mature 5'-ends of tRNAs by cleaving the 5'-leader elements of precursor-tRNAs. Lineage: Bacteria; Pseudomonadati; Thermodesulfobacteriota; Desulfovibrionia; Desulfovibrionales; Desulfonauticaceae. The record is from Rfam by way of RNAcentral.